Molecule: ribosomal RNA, 427 nt
Filed under: uncultured bacterium
Lineage: Bacteria
Description: bacterial SSU rRNA
Rfam family: Bacterial small subunit ribosomal RNA
Source: RNAcentral
UGGGGAAUUUUGGACAAUGGGCGCAAGCCUGAUCCAGCCAUGCCGCGUGCAGGAUGAAGGCCUUCGGGUUGUAAACUGCUUUUGUACGGAACGAAAAGGUGCCUUCUAGUAAAGGGCGCUCAUGACGGUACCGUAAGAAUAAGCACCGGCUAACUACGUGCCAGCAGCCGCGGUAAUACGUAGGGUGCGAGCGUUAAUCGGAAUUACUGGGCGUAAAGCGUGCGCAGGCGGUUUUGUAAGACAGAGGUGAAAUCCCCGGGCUCAACCUGGGAACUGCCUUUGUGACUGCAAGGCUGGAGUGCGGCAGAGGGGGAUGGAAUUCCGCGUGUAGCAGUGAAAUGCGUAGAUAUGCGGAGGAACACCGAUGGCGAAGGCAAUCCCCUGGGCCUGCACUGACGCUCAUGCACGAAAGCGUGGGGAGCAAACA